RNAcentral lists this ribosomal RNA (442 nucleotides) under uncultured bacterium. RNAcentral's name for it is "partial 16S ribosomal RNA". It matches the Rfam family "Bacterial small subunit ribosomal RNA", at positions 29 to 507 of the family's 1533-position model. The record is from RNAcentral.
AUGAACGCUGGCGGCAUGCCUAACACAUGCAAGUCGAUCGGUAAGGCUCUUCGGAGUACACGAGAGGCGGACGGCUGAGUAACGCGUAGGAACACACCCUGCAGUGAGGGAUACGACACCGAAAGGUGUUCUAAUACCGCAUACGGUCUUCGGAUUAAAGCAUUUAUGCGCUGAAGGAGUGGCCUGCGUCAUAUUAGAUAGUUGGUGAGGUAAUGGCUCACCAAGUCGAUGAUGUGUAGCUGGUCUGAGAGGAUGAUCAGCCAGACUGGAACUGAGACACGGUCCAGACUCCUACGGGAGGCAGCAGUGAGGAAUAUUUCACAAUGAGCGAAAGCUUGAUGGAGCAAUGCCGCGUGCAGGAUGAAGGCCCUCGGGUUGUAAACUGCUUUUAUAAGAGAAGAUUAUGACGGUAACUUAUGAAUAAGGGACGGCUAACUACGUG